ACACUCCUGCGGGAGGCAGCAGUGGGGAAUAUUGGACAAUGGGCGCAAGCCUGAUCCAGCCAUGCCGCGUGAGUGAUGAAGGCCCUAGGGUUGUAAAGCUCUUUCACCGGUGAAGAUAAUGACGGUAACCGGAGAAGAAGCCCCGACUAACUUCGUGCCAGCAGCCGCGGUAAUACGAAGGGGGCUAGCGUUGUUCGGAUUUACUGGGCGUAAAGCGCACGUAGGCGGACUAUUAAGUCAGGGGUGAAAUCCCGGGGCUCAACCCCGGAACUGCCUUUGAUACUGGUAGUCUUGAGUUCGAGAGAGGUGAGUGGAAUUCCGAGUGUAGAGGUGAAAUUCGUAGAUAUUCGGAGGAACACCAGUGGCGAAGGCGGCUCACUGGCUCGAUACUGACGCUGAGGUGCGAAAGCGUGGGGAGCAAACAGGAUUAGAAACCCUUGUAGUCCCAUGAU
Molecule: ribosomal RNA, 452 nt
Filed under: uncultured organism
Description: partial 16S ribosomal RNA
Rfam family: Bacterial small subunit ribosomal RNA
Source: RNAcentral